ACCUUGGUAGCUCAGUCAGUAGAGCAUGAGACUCUUCAUCUUAGGGUCGUAGGUUCAAGCCCCACGUUGGGCA
RNAcentral lists this transfer RNA (73 nucleotides) under Podarcis lilfordi (Lilford's wall lizard). It matches the Rfam family "tRNA". Rfam says of the family: Transfer RNA (tRNA) molecules are approximately 80 nucleotides in length. Their secondary structure includes four short double-helical elements and three loops (D, anti-codon, and T loops). Lineage: Eukaryota; Metazoa; Chordata; Lepidosauria; Squamata; Lacertidae. The record is from Rfam by way of RNAcentral.